Molecule: long non-coding RNA, 3632 nt
Filed under: Octopus vulgaris (common octopus)
Lineage: Eukaryota; Metazoa; Mollusca; Cephalopoda; Octopoda; Octopodidae
Source: RNAcentral
CCUUGAACUAUUCUCCUCUCGUGUUGACAUUGAUAUCACUUCUGAAAACAAUAAUUUAACUUCGAAAGAAAUCUGAAUUUAUUGACGGUAAAGUACUCAUAUUUAUACCGUACAUGUAUCUGUUUACUAACAACCUAGAUCACUAUCAAUGACUAAAUAAUUACUGUGAUUUAUACGAGAUAUUUGUUCUUAAUGUUCUCUUCAUUCAAUCGUUUUUCUUUUCUUUUCACUUUCAUUAAUCUAACUUUUGGUAAAUGUGAAGAAUUACGGCGUAAUUUCGAAGAUAUGAAGAAUGUAUAAAGCAUGACGUUUUACUUGAAACGAAAUGGAAACAUUGUUUACUACAGUCAAGAUAUUGCAGUGAUGACAAACAAGUCUAUAAUUUCUGAUACAGUUAUGCAUUAAUGCAUCUUAAAAUUAAUAUAUAUCUCCCUUCUAUCUAUCUAUCUAUCUAUCCGCUCAGUCGACGUCGACUCUCGGUUAUUCGAUGGAUCAGUGUCCUCCAGUCAGUUCUAUCCUGGGCCGCUUCUUUCAGACUGGCUACUUCCAUUCCGGUAUCACUCUUGAUGGUGUCAAGCCAGCGGGUUCUUGGUCGGCCUUUUCCUCUCUUGCCACUGACCAUUCCGAGCAUGAUGUCCUUCUCCAGGGAUUUUCUCCACAUUAUAUGACCGAAAUAUGCCAAUCUAUGCUUGGUGAUCCUAGCUUCUAGCGACAUUUUCGGCCUGAUCUGCUUAAGAACUUUUCUCCAUUGGUGAGCCUCGCUGUCCAUGGAAUCCGUAAAAGUCUUCUCCAACACCAAAGCUCGAAUGCAUUAAUUCUCUUCUGGUGAGCUUUCUUUAGUGUCCAGGUCUCGCAUCCAUAUGUUGCUGCCUUACUCUUUACUCUUUUACUUGUUUCAGUCAUUUGACUGCGGCCAUGCUGGAGCACCACCUUUUAGUCGAGCAAAUCGACCCCGGGACUUAUUCUUUGUAAGCCCAGUACUUAUUCUAUCGGUCUCUUUUGCCGAACCGCUAAGUGACGGGGAUGUAAACACACCAGCAUCGGUUGUCAAGCAAUGCUAGGGGGACAAACACAGACACACAUACAUAUAUUUAUACAUAUAUACGACGGGCUUCUUUUCAGUUUCCGUCUACCAAAUCCACUCACAAGGCAUUGGUCGGCCCGGGGCUAUAGCAGAAGACACUUGCCCAAGAUGCCACGCAGUGGGACUGAACCCGGAACCAUGUGGUUGGUUAGCAAGCUACUUACCACACCUAUAUUUAAAUAAUUACUUGUUACCUAAAUUGUUUUCUGUCUCCCGUAAUACACAUUCUUUUACAAUACAGUUAUUACUAACAAUUAAACGUUCGUCGUUACGUGGUAAAAUUGUUUUUUCCUGAUUUCUUUUCAAAAUGGAAACGAAAUAUGUUUAUUCUGAAGAGUAAAUAUUUUCAUUUCAAAAGCACGUGUAUUGCGAAGAUGUUAAAAUACGUUAAAGCAACUUACACGUUUUUGAUUUAUAAACAGAGUUAAAGGAAAUCGUAAGUGCAGAUUGAAUAAUUUGUAUGAUUUAGGAGAAAUAACGGAUAUUGUUAUGUCUGCAACGAUGUUCUGCUCAGUGAGACCUGACCUGGGGUUAAAGAAUAAUCGCCUGACAAUGAACUAUCUUGCUGGAUAAAAUUACAAAGUAACACCCGCACGAUUUUCACUAAGAAAAAACAUUUUUUUGCGUGGAAUCAAGUACCCUGAUCUCGUAAUAUGCUGUAAAUGCCAUAUUUUGGUUCGGAAUUAGUCCGGAAUGGGGGCAGCCCCUCUCCCCCGGAAUUUUCACAAAAAAAAACCUCUGAUUUUUUUGCGUGGAAUCAAGUACCCUGACCUCGUAAUAUGCUGCAAAUCCCAUAUUUUAGUUCGGAAUUGGUCCGGAAGGGGGGCAGCCCCUCUCCCCCGGAAUUUUCACUAAAUUCGUAUUUUUUGCGUGGAAUCAAGUACUCUGACCUCCUUACUGCAAAUCCCUUAUUUUGGUUCGUAAAAGGGGGUGGCGAAUUGGAUUUUUUUUUUUCGUUGAAUGAAUUCCUGUGACAUGCUAACAUAACCGAUCCCAACAAGGUAGAAAACCCUUUUUGCGGUUCGAAAAAUGGAGUGGGGUGAGCUGGAAGCCUCGGAAGUUUCACCCACUCACAAUAUUAUACAGAAAUAAAAUUUCCAGGGUGUGAAUUACAUGGUUCGUUAUUAAACAUAUAUAGAAAUUGUGUAUAUUUGGUGUAUAUAUAUAUAUACAUAUAUAUAAUAUCGUGUGUGUAGACAGGUAAAAUGUAGACAUAUAUAUAGAUAUAUAAUUAUUUCUUUUUUUUUAACACAAACCCCCGUUUUCGGUUACGGAGAAUACGAAUCUGCUAGGGUUUGAGGGUUAGGUUUAGGGGAUAGGGAAAAUGUCAAAAAGGAAUGGUGGUGGUGGAGGGCAAAUUUGAAAAUGCCGAUUUUUGGCAAAAACAAAAAUUAAAAUAAAAAAAUUGGGGAGGAAGUCUUUCCAAUAGCGUGCACGUGUAUACAGACAGGUAAAAAUUUACUUACCCUUUUGCUGUCAAAAAGAUGGAUCCAUUCUGAACAAAAUCCACUCUAAACUAGCUAGUUCAAUUGAGUGUUUUACGAAAAAAAAAAAAAAAACUCGUUCGCGCCCAGGUGGAGGCGGAGUGGGGAGACAGAUGAACGAUGUCUCAUUCUCUGCUAUAUAUAAUGAGCCAUUUCUUAAACAUACACGAUAUAGUCUAUAAAUUUGGGAUGUUUUUGAAAGAUAAUAUAUUUUAUCAUCAGAAUAUAUAUACAUUCUCACACUACAAUUAAGAUAUAUUUAUUUUAAAUCGUUCAUCUUUUUCCCCCCACCUCCAUACCCAAAAAUUAGUUUGGGCGCGGAAAAUUUUUGUUUAAAGCCCUAUGUCCACUAUUUUAUAGUUUUGCAUAAAUAAUGAUAGCGUUACUGUAGUCUGUGAUAUAUAGACCUCUCGUGAGGUUGUUUGAUGUAAUUUUAAUAACAAAUUUAAAGUUCAGAUGACGACGUAAAUGUUUAUAUUAAGUUUUUCAAUAUGAAAAUGUAACAAAUUUUCCAUCAUUGAAUCUACUUUUUAGUAUCCCUCCAUCUUAUACCGUUUCUCUAUUAUUUCAGAAAUAUCAGAUGACGUGGGCAUAAAAGUAUUGCUUACUUCAAAUGUGUGGUCGAUAUUUAUCAUCUUUUAAAAAGGAAGUUGUUCCACAGAAUGGAUAUCAUUCUGUUUCUAUAAAUUUGUGAUAAAGUGGAGAAUGUUUGUUGUGAUUUGAGAUCAUUUGCAAAAUUCUUCUACUUCUAUGCCUGGAAUAUCUUCAGGAGUUGGUUGUUUUGUAAUUAACCAUGGAGAAAUUUUCACAGGAGUUUGCAAUAUCUUCAGCCAUCAAUAAAGAUCACGUUUUAUGGAAUUAUAGCAGUAGAAAUAAUUGUAAAGAAAAUACAGGAGAAACGAAGUUGUCAAAGAGGAAUAAUUAUGGAAAAUGAAUUCUGUGAGGAGUCAAUUCAAAUUAAAACAGAAACUGAAAGCAUUGAUUAUCCUAAUGAGAUGCAGAAAGAGAGAGAAGGAACAUCAUAUACCUGUGAUAUCUGUAAAAAGUUAUUCACUCAUAAAAGC